This 403-nucleotide ribosomal RNA is filed under the name Verrucomicrobiota bacterium. RNAcentral's name for it is "Verrucomicrobia bacterium partial 16S ribosomal RNA". It matches the Rfam family "Bacterial small subunit ribosomal RNA", at positions 355 to 776 of the family's 1533-position model. The record is from RNAcentral. Lineage: Bacteria; Pseudomonadati; Verrucomicrobiota.
UGGGGAAUAUUGCACAAUGGGCGCAAGCCUGAUGCAGCAACGCCGCGUGAACGAUGAAGGUCUUCGGAUCGUAAAGUUCUGUUGCAGGGGAAGAUAAUGACGGUACCCUGUGAGGAAGCCCCGGCUAACUACGUGCCAGCAGCCGCAGUAAUACGUAGGGGGCUAGCGUUAUCCGGAUUUACUGGGCGUAAAGGGUGCGUAGGUGGUCUUUCAAGUCGGUGGUUAAAGGCUACGGCUCAACCGUAGUUAGCCUCCGAAACUGGAAGACUUGAGUGCAGGAGAGGAAAGUGGAAUUCCCAGUGUAGCGGUGAAAUGCGUAGAUAUUGGGAGGAACACCAGUAGCGAAGGCGGCUUUCUGGACUGCAACUGACACUGAGGCACGAAAGCGUGGGUAGCAAACAGG